RNAcentral lists this ribosomal RNA (301 nucleotides) under uncultured bacterium. RNAcentral describes it as "partial 16S ribosomal RNA". It matches the Rfam family "Bacterial small subunit ribosomal RNA", at positions 509 to 807 of the family's 1533-position model. The record is from RNAcentral.
CAGUAGCCACGGGAAUACGGAGGGUGCAAGCGUUAAUCGGAAUUACUGGGCGUAAAGCGCACGCAGGCGGUCUGUCAAGUCGGAUGUGAAAUCCCCGGGCUCAACCUGGGAACUGCAUUCGAAACUGGCAGGCUAGAGUCUUGUAGAGGGGGGUAGAAUUCCAGGUGUAGCGGUGAAAUGCGUAGAGAUCUGGAGGAAUACCGAUGGCGAAGGCAGCCAUCUGGCCUAAUACUGACGCUGAGGUACGAAAGCAUGGGGAGCAAACAGGAUUAGAUACCCCGGUAGUCCCUGUCUCUUAUAC